ACUUGUUAUAUGCACACACCUGUGCCUUAUUGUCAUUAACAUUGUCGUGCCAUUUAAUAGCAGAUUGUCAACCCAUCCACCACUCGUGUUUGUUGUAGGGGCUGUUUUGUGAAAAUUUGUUCCCAAAUAAGUCUGCUAUUGAACAAGACUGGGUGGGCUCUACAUCUGAAAAUGCACACCUGAAAGUUAUUCUCCCUCUUUUGCAAGAAAGAGAGAGAUUGGAGGCAGAGAUAGCAGCAUGGAGAGGUAGAAGCCUAUGAGGGGAGACAAAGAAGAGAAGAGGAGGCUGCAGGCAGGGAGGCUGAUUGGGCUGGGCAAUCACCUGUGCAGCUCUACCUUCAGAUCUUAUUUAGCCAGGACUGACUCUCUCCUCUUAGGAGAUAUAAUAAAUCAUACCAUUGGCAUGCAAA
Molecule: long non-coding RNA, 410 nt
Organism: Micropterus salmoides (largemouth bass)
Lineage: Eukaryota; Metazoa; Chordata; Actinopteri; Centrarchiformes; Centrarchidae
Exons: 2
Source: RefSeq, a predicted model, not a curated record